Carya illinoinensis is the source of this 778-nucleotide long non-coding RNA. RefSeq lists it as uncharacterized. The transcript has 2 exons. Lineage: Eukaryota; Viridiplantae; Streptophyta; Magnoliopsida; Fagales; Juglandaceae. The record is from RefSeq and is a predicted model, not a curated record.
GUGGCACCACCACGUGGCAUAUUUUUUGUUUUUAAAAUAACCAAAGAUCGAAAGGGGCUGAAAUGAAAAAUCCCGUUCCAAACUUCAAAUGCAUUUAGAAAAUUCAUCUUCACCCUCCCAUCACCCCCCGUCGCCGUCCCUCGCCGUGCCCGUUGCCAUCCCGUCGCUGAACACCGUCACGAGUCCUUCCAUCGCCGAACAUCGGCUCCCUCCUCCACGAGAACCAUCUCGUAGCACUGAGCUUCUACCGUCUUUCACAAGUGCCUUCCGUCGCAGCGGCAAAGGUUCUACCCUCCUCCAGUGCCUUCCAUCACCGAACAUCGGCUUCCUCUUCAUUGUUUCUUUAUUUCUGAUUUUAUGCUUCUGAAGUGCUUCUUGUGCUCAAGUAUCAACACAUUUAGCUCCUGAGAUAAUAAGAGGAUAUGGUCAUGGGAGUGCUGCUGAUUGGUGGACGUUUGGUAUUUUCCUGUAUGAGUUGUUACAUGGGAAGAAACCUUUUAAAGGCAAUGGAAACCGAGAAACACAUUUGUGAUUGUACGUAUGCAUAUUGGGCACUUCUGUGAGGGUCAUUGCAAUUAAUCAUUUGAUUAUAGAGGCUGAUGAAGCAGAGUUUGAGGCAAUUGAUUCAUGCAAACAUUGAGACUUUGAAUAUUCUCAUGUAUGUGGAAGCUCUUUGUAUUUUGUGGAAACUCUUUGUAUUUGUUGAGACUUUGAAUACAAAGCUUGUGUUUUAAGUGUUUGUUUUUAGUAAAAGAGAAAAAAGACUGACCUUUUUUUA